AACGAACGCUGGCGGCAUGCCUAACACAUGCAAGUCGAACGAUACCUUCGGGUCUAGUGGCGCACGGGUGCGUAACGCGUGGGAACCUGCCCUUAGGUUCGGAAUAACUCCCCGAAAGGGGUGCUAAUACCGGAUAAUGUCUUCGGACCAAAGAUUUAUUGCCUUUGGAUGGGCCCGCGUUGGAUUAGCUAGUUGGUAGGGUAAAAGCCUACCAAGGCGACGAUCCAUAGCUGGUCUGAGAGGAAGAUCAGCCACACUGGGACUGGGACACGGCCCAGACUCCUACGGGAGGAAGCAGUGGGGAAUAUUGGACAAUGGGCGAAAGCCUGAUCCAGCAAUGCCGCGUGAGUGAUGAAGGCCUUAGGGUUGUAAAGCUCUUUUACCCGGGAUGAUAAUGACAGUACCGGGAGAAUAAGCGCCGGCUAACUCCGUG
Molecule: ribosomal RNA, 433 nt
Filed under: uncultured bacterium
Lineage: Bacteria
Description: partial 16S ribosomal RNA
Rfam family: Bacterial small subunit ribosomal RNA
Source: RNAcentral